GCGUUGAAACUGCCUUUUGGCAAAACAACAGUGAUGCAUUUGGUCGCCAGAGAGACAUUGCCAGAGCCAAACUCCCAAGGUCAGCGGAAUCGCGAGAAGACUGGCGAGAGUAACUGUUGUGUCAUCCUGUAAACCCACUGCCGAGCCGGGUGCAACGUAGUCUCUGUCUUUCCUGCUGCUGGCGCCCAGGAGACCCAGCGUUGCUUCAGAACCUUUAGGAAGAGUCUCCCUGUAAACUCAUGGACCUGAACUAUCACAUGAACACUGUCACCCUUUCUCGUGAAAGUAAAAAGAACCGAGAACAUUUUUCACUAUGAUUCUUUAUUUCUAGUAUUUUUGUUUAUGUUGAGCAGUUUUAAAAUGUAUCGGUUUUUGAAUGCAAAUCAAUCUCCAGGGGAAAAGUUAAAAAGUUAUCUUUCAUAGCAGAAACUGUUUGCUGCCACAAAAGUUUUUAUCACCAGAACUAACAAAUGUUGCACAUACAGUUUGCACUAAAAACAAGUGACGUCAUUUUCUUCCGCAGCAGAAAUUGUGACAUGGCUUAUGGUAUCUAGAAAUACGCACACACGCACAUCCACACUGGAGGACACUCAGCAAUUAAUGAAGUGAAUAACUGGGCCAACUUGACAGGAAAAAAUGGAAAAGAAACUAAAAUGUUGGGUGAAUUCUACCACAAGUCAGCCAUGCUGGCUGCCCUGGCACGGGAUCCUAAAGUGAGCGCAGCUGUCUUCACGGCAACAGGGGAAAAACAAAGUGUGCCUGGUGUUGCAAGUCCUCAGCAGAGGGCUGAUGAGCCUAACGGCCGUUCCUUUAACACGCGCACCCCAGGCUGGCGGUAAGGAGAGCUGUUCACGCAGCCCCCGGGGAGUGCGCGGCCUAGCCUUAAUGCAGGGGCGCGUCUGGCCGCUCGGAGACAUCUGUGAUUUGCGCAGAAGCGUUAGAAAACCUCGUUCAGCCAUCCAUCCCUUUUCUGUAUUUGCGUAUCAGCAAAUUGACUUUUUCCAUCAUGAGUGCUCAUCUCUGUGUCCACUGUCACACGUACUCAUUAGAGAGCUCAGAUGAAUUCUUAAAAUUAAAAAAUUUUCCGCAGGACUAAUUUUGUUUCUUUGUGUAGUUUGCAUUGGGUAUUUAGUGCUUGCAAUUGUGUUAAAAUCAGAAGCUGAUUUUUAAGGCAUACGUGAUUAGGGAUGCCAUUCUUUUGUUUUGUACCAAUAAUUUAAAAAUUGAUAUGCUAACAACAAUUUGCACAGCACUAAAGCAUGAGCUACGUUUCAUCUAAACCUGUAAAAAAUAUAAAAGAUUUUAUAUUUUUUUUCACUGGGAAGGAAUUCUUCCUGGAUGGAAUUAAAAAUAUGUGUAGAAUAUAUUUAAUAAAAAACUUAUGAAAUACCUAACUAUAGAACUUAAAUAUAGAUUGGCGUGUAGUAUAUAGGACAGUAUUCCAUAUAAAUAACUGUAGCCUUUAUACAAAUGAAGUUGCAGGCUGACAUGAUGUUCUGUACUGAAAAGUGUCCACGGCCCUUACAAAUAGCAGGUGUAAAAGGUUUCAGAUGGUCAGCUUUGUUUAAAGGUAACCAGGUUAUUUUAUUCAUUGUUAAUGCUUUGAUGAAAAGGCUUUAUAUGCAGUAGAUCUACGAAAAUACUGUUCAUACUGAUCAGAAUUAAAUUUGUAUAGAGCAGAGUUUUAAAAUGAAUGUAAAUAGCACUAAACAUUUUCUUUCUGCAACCUGUACUUAUAGAUUCUUUCUGUAAACUAAAUAAAACAAAAUAUUGUAGUGCAUUUUGGUGGUAAUUUUAAAGGUCUUGAUUAGGUUGAUAAUUGUUUAGGCACUGUCUCAUCCACGUUAAAAUUGUUCUGUUUUUAUUUCUGAAUCUUUAAAGAUGGUUUCAGAUAUUCUCUUGUUAGUUUUGGGAGGAGUCCCAAUGUGUCUUUGGUAUUUAGCCGGGUUAAUUUGUGCACAGUCAUGACAAUGAGUAGAACUGUGUAGUCUCUGUAAUCACUAAAAUGUUCUCUUCAGGAGGUGUUAAAUAUUUAUUUGCUUUGUUGACUAGCUCAAAUGUGAAUUCUCUUAGUGUUGACUGAAGAAGAGUCUGGUAGUUACUUAAUUGGGCCAUUCUUUCUGAAUACAAACUACUGGUAAUUAUUUUUAAUACUUAUUUUAAUUCUAAUUACUCUUCUGUUUUUGCAGAGUUAAAGACUAUCAGUUAAUUACAAUUGAAAUUUUAUGAUGGUUAACAAAUAUUCUCUUGGUUUUCAAUGUAUUUUUCUAUAUGUUCCCACAUUAUUAUAAAUUUCCCUUUACGAGACCUCAAUUUAGAGUUUGCAAAAUGGAUAAACUCGUUUAUUAGUAGAGAAAGAGUUACAUCACGUAAUACCUAAUACUGUUGUGCAAAAUGAAAAAAAAAGAAUAGCAGUAAAAUUAUAUACUGAAAACACCAAAAAUUUAGAUGCCUUAAUAGUGUAUAUGUGAAAAUACUCAGCUACCCCUUUUUAAAUAGUUCCUUUUGCUGCCUGAUGGUUAAAACUGAUGGAUCACAUCCAAGGCUCCUAUCGAAGAUCCCUCUGCUGAAAACAAUGGCUCACUCACCGAAAGGGGGCGCCACCGAGGCCUGGUCCUCCACAGAAAGCCUGGGUCACAGGCCUGUGGCCCUCUCUGGCACUUGGCAUUUAACUCAUGUCUUUUACCUAAAUUGUCCUAGACUUUUGUGUUCUUCUUUAUUAAAACCUUAGCAUGUCUCCUUGAUCUGAAUUAUUUGUUUUCUCUUCAAGAUAAGUUUAUCUAAUCAUGAAAAAUACAGAAUCCAACGUCAUCAGUCACAUUAAAUGAGGCUUUCUCAUAACAAACGUUUAUCCUUAGUUCUCUGUUCCAUCUUGACCGAUGUUACACUGAUUUAUGUUACCUGAUUGUGGCAAACAAUGUUUAAUGUGAAAAGAAAUUAAAACUUUCUUCUCAUCUGUUGUAGAAUAUUUCCCUUCUUUUAAAUGACUUUUAGUCAUAAUUUUGGUGUUUUAUUUGAAUCGUGGCUUCCAAAGAUAUGACAUCUUCAGAGAUCCUAUCACUGUUUCUUGGUUUAGCUUUUUUGUUUUUGUUUUCCUCUUUCCCUACCAGCUUUGAACUCUGAUAGGUCUGCAUAUGGGGAUGUCUCUGAAGUUCUCACCACCUCUGAUAUCACUGGUACAGUUGUGUUCCUAGAAUAUGGUGCAGCCCUGGCCAAGAAGUCCCUUCCCACAGUUAUCGAGCGUGACCCCCUUUCUCAGCACCAGGCAAGCCACUAGGGAUUCUGAGUCAAAUGACACAAUUCUAGCUCUCAGGAAGCCCACGGGUCUAGUGGGGGAAGAUGACAAGGGGAACUUAGAAGCCAGUUGUAGUUCCCUGGUGGCUCAGCAGGUUAAGGAUGCAGUGUUCUCGUUGCUGUGGCUUCACUCAUCACUGCUCUGGUAAGAGUUUGAUCCCUGGCCUUGGGUGUGGCCAAAAGAAAUAAAAAUAAGAUGAUGUGAAUCCAUGACAUUAAAAAAAAAAAAGCUGAUAAGCCAGAAAUGGUGAUGGAAUCUGACCAAUAUGAUGUGUCUGCCCAAGAUAUGAGAACGCAAUGGGCAGAUACCCAGCCCCAAGCAGGGAAACACAAAUGACUUUGGGAGAGGAUAAUGUCCACGUGGAAUCCACAGACAAUGCGUAGGAUUUGCACAUCAGCAUUCAAAGCAGCAGCAUUUGCAGUACCCAAGUGGUGGAAACUACCCAAACAGGUGAAUGGAAAAGCAAACUUGUAUCGUCCCACAGUGGGCUAUUAUUCACCCUCAAAGAGGAAGGAAAUUCUGCCACCUGCUACAACAUGGAUGAGCCUUGAAAGCACUGUUCUGAGUGAAAUAGGAGGACGCAAAAGGAAAAAUACUGUCUGAUUCCACUUGCAUAGGCAAAUCCAUAGAGAUAGAAAGCAGAACAGAGUUGACAUGGGGCUGCAGGAAGCCGGGAAUGGGGAGCUCAUGUUUAACUUGGACAGAGUUUCGGUUUAGGAUGAUGAGAUGGAUAGCGGUGAUGGUUGCACGACACUAGGAAUGUUCUUGAUGCCCCAACUUACACAUUUAAAAAUCGCUAAAGUGGUCAUUUCUAUGUUGUAUAUGUACUACAUAUAUAACAAAAGUAAAAGAAAAAAAUUUUUUUUUCCAAAACUGAGUAGACCUUACCCAGGAAAAGGAGCAUGUGGCAGAGGGUCAGAGAGGAAGGGCAGGACGCUGAUGGGAGCAGAGCAAACAGAAAUGCAAAGGUCUGGAAAUGAGAGAGGGCUGCGUGGUCAGGAAAUCGCAAGGAGCUCUGAGUGGCUGCAGCUCAGAGUACAGGACUUGGAAGGAGAGGGAAUAUGAAAGCUGAGGCUGGAAAAGUACCAGGUUUGAGGAAACUGGGAAGCCCCGCCAACAUUCUGAAUCUAGACUUUUCCCCGAAGACAGGUGCAUCCACAUUCACAUCCCCCAGAAGGAACUCGGCGUCCUCCCUCCAGCCUUUCCUCUGUAAUAAAUUAACAAUCCCUUCGUCGUUGUUGUGUUUUAAAAAUGCUUGUUAUAAAGACAGUCCUGAAGGUGAAGAGAUGUCUUCUAUUCUCCCAAGCCCAUCACGCAUAAACAAGAGCAUGAUCUGAGUAUUUUCCGUUGAUAUCAAUUGCAGAGACGGUUCAUAAGUGGAAUUGCUUUUAUAAACUUGGGAUGAUAGCAUAGAAACUUUUUAAUUUUAGUCGAAUUCAGCAAAAGAAAUUGAAAUGAGACUCAGAAUUGCUGUCGUUUGGACAUUUCUCCACCAGGAUAGUGUGGUUUCCUAAAAAUCCUCUAGGAUUAAAGAAAGUGAUUAUGAGGGAAAAAAGUUUCUUUUUAGAAUUUUCUGUAUCAAUUUGAGACAAUACUGAUCAGUUCCCAUCUCUGAAAGAUGAAAAAGGUAAUACUUCCAUUUGAGCCCCUCUGAAUUUUUGGGGUUAUAUUUUUGAGUAUCUUCGAGAUUGCCAACAUGUACAUUGUUCUAUAAUUGUCCUGUGAUUAUUCAGCUUCAACUCCAUAUUUAAGUGGAUUUUGUAUCCACCUGUCAGUCUUUCAUCAAAGCUUCCUAUUCCUGAUGGUGUUUGUUUUUAAAUUAAGUCAUCUAUCAGUGGGAAAGUUUUCCCUGUAAAAUAUCCUUUUAGCGAGACCCAUGGUACUGCCUGAAGAUGUCUGUCUGCUGCCUUUACGUUUGACUGACACCUCUCUGGGCUGUAAUUGUCUUAGGUUGCACUUCUUUCAGAACGUGGUAGACGUGACCCUUGAUGUUUUUGUUGCCGUUUUGUUUUGGUCACACCCAUGACAUGUGGAAGUUCCCAGGCCAGGGACUGAAUCCAGGCCACAACAGAGACAAUGCCAGGUCCUUGACCAUCUGAACCCCCGGGGAACUCCUGCUCUGAUAUCUUAAGGCUCUGAUUGCUGUGAAGAAUUCUGAGGUCAGUCUCAUUUGUGUCUUUGGUAGUUGAUUUGUGUUUUCCUGGGUGCCUGGAGCAUUCUUUAGGCCUCAAGUUCGACAGCUUCUCCAGGAUCUGCCUUGGCACAGAGCCCUGCAUGUCAAAAUCUACAAGAACGUGGCAUGUGCGCUGCGCCUGCAGAGUCAGUUCCGUUCGGGGUGUUUCUCGUGUACGUCUCCGAGUCCACCUUCUGGUCCUCUUCUCCACCCUCUGCUUCAGGGUCACGGUGCCAGGUCGCGUUCUCUCCAUCCAUGCCCUGCACGUGGCAUCUUCUCUCUUGGCUUUCAUGCUCCGGUCUUUCCCUGGUGCGGGUGCUUUACUGCUGGCGAAGCUUCCCCCGCCCUCUCUGCUGCUGUGUCACUAAGCGCGUGCACCUGGGGUCCCCCCACCUGGCUGGGGUGUUGUACAUUCCACCUGGGGCUACCGUCAGGGUCUCUUCAUGACUGUGAUUCUGUGUGGCCCUGGACCCUCGCUUCCACCUGAGAAUGGGCUCUGUUCACCUCCCAUUCCGCCCCCCCUCAGCCUCCUCCCCCGACUCUGCCAAGUGCUCUUUCUAGUUACUUCUCACGGAAGCUGGUCUCAAAGAGGGAAGAAGAACAAACUCUAUUGUCUCAUUGUUUUAAGUAGCUACUUUGUUGUUGUUCUUUUUAGGGCUGCACCCAUGGCAUGUGGAGCUUCCCUGGCUAGGGGUCCAGUGGGAGCUGUAGCUGCCGGCCUACACCACAGCCACAGCCACGCAGAAUCCCUAAGCCACUGAGUGAGGCCAGGGGUCGAACCCUCAACCUCAUGGUUCCUAUUCAGAUUUGUUUCUGCUGCGCCAUGACGGGAACUCAAAGGCCAGCUUUUCUGGACUUCCUUCCUUAGCCACCAAUGAGGAGAGAGUCUUAGAAACCUUGCAGGGUAGGAAAUUAAGGAGAACUUAGAGGAAUGAAAUUGUUCUCACAAAGUUUUGCUUUCUCAAAUUUUGUUUGUUGAACAAACUGCAUUAUGGGAAAUGGCCAGCAGAGGAAUAUUGAUUUUUCAAAGCAGCGCGGUGCUUUAGGAAGGGAUGACAUGGCUUUUACUGAAAUCGCAGAAUGGCUUUAUUUUUGUCCAUGCCCCCUGGAAUGGCCUGGGGGGAAGGAAUGUGUAAGAAAAGUAAGAAAAGAAAUAGAAGGAACGUCGUUGGGGUAGGAUGCCAGAGUAUGCGGGUUCCAGCUCUUCCAUACCUGAGGAAGGGGAGAGAUUGAAUAUCGGAAACAAAAGAAAAAUAAGUGAAAUGAGACAAGAUGCAGCUGAUUUACUGAUUUUCAUAUCACCAGCACGUUCACCUCUCCUUUGCAGGUCAGGCACCUUUUCUCUCUCGGCAGCAAAGCUUCAGUGCUCCAGGCCGGCAUCAGGCCAUCAGAGUGACUCAAACCACAGUGAUGCCACUUCCUAGAGUCCAGGGUCUAACCCCAUCCCUCUCUCCCCUCCUCUUCCCGUGUCCUGGCACCAAAGCUUUAGAACGAUGGGGAAGGAGAAUACUGCUUCCUCUCCCUAUCGUCCCAACUUUCCCCAGAUCCCCACCCCCCUCUGCUUCCAGGCAGUCACGAGCCAGGGGCGUCUGGGUGGACCCAGAAGAAUGCCUGUCUUUUUCUCCAAAAGCCCGUGUGGGAAAUAACAGCUAUUCUAUAGAGCACGGCUCUGCCCGGAGAGGAUGAGGACUGCGCUUUCCUGGAUGACAAAGACAAAGACAGGGGUCAAGGUUUGGCCGUUGACUUCCAGCCCGGAGAUAAGAGCUGUGAGAGCCAAAGCUCUAGGGAUAUGCAAGAGCCAAGCAUCCAGUGAACCGGGCAGCAAAGGCCCAAAGAGAUCCGGGGCAUCAAGUUUAUCCCAAGUCUGCGGGUGGCUUGGGGCACAUCUGCUUCAGCUCGUAGGUGAUCCAUAGGUCUCUCCUUCUAGAACCUGCAGUUAUCUGGGUUCCAUGGCAGAUGGUGGAAGGACAAGAGACCAAUCAAAAACAUACAGGUGCCCUUCAAGCCCCCGGCCAGCCAAGGCCGAACAAGCGUCUGUUCAUUUACCAUCAGCCCAAGGAUGACAAGUGGCCAAACCCAAAGGCAGGGGGCAGGGGAUUGGACUCUGCCCCGGGGAAGCAAGGAUGAACUGCAAACAGACGAUGCUCUCUGUUUUAAGAGCCAGGCAUGGCCCCUAGUUGCCGGCUGCACUGGUGGCUGUGCCCUUUACCAGGGGAAGGAAGUAAGGGCAGUGGCACAGGUUAGGGAGAGCUCAUGCGUUCAGCCUUGGAUAUUUGAUUCUGAGAUGUCUUGGGUACCAAAGCAGCAGGAGCUACGGAGAAGCCUGGCCUGAAGGUAUGUAUCCGGGAGAUGCAGCAAAGACUAGUCGUGCCCUGCUCUCCAUCCACUAACCCCUUGUGUCGUUUUAGAAGAACAUCUGAUUUUUAGGGGCCGCCAUACGUUUCCAAACCUCCCUUGAGCUAGAGUGGCCACCUGACUGAAUUUUAACCCAUGAAGUGUAAGCCGUGUCAUGUAUGACUUCUGUGAAGUACCCCUAAAGGAAAGGCUGUGUCCUUCCCCCUGACCUCUUCCUUCCUGCUAACAGAAAUGUGGUUGUGAUGGCUGGAGCCCAGGAAGUCAUCUUGGACCAUGAGGUAAAAAGUCCUCUGUUGAGACUGGCAGAGUGACAGGCAGGCCAGUUCCCUGACAAGAAGUGCUCUUUUCUAGUAUUCAGGCUCCGGAUACUUGGAGUUUCCUCUCAUCUACAUUCAAGCCCAGUCCUGGUACAAAAGUCACGAAAGCAGAGAAGUGCUGACAGGCAUUGGGCUUAGCCUCCAGCCUCUGAGACGAGAAUAUAGAACAGAUGUAAGGCGAGCCCAGGACUGGGCGUGAGCAUCGCCAACAUGGAACAGCCAGGGGAAGAGGCUACGUCCACAGAGACAGAGGCAGGCAGAGAGGGAGAAGGAGCAGGGAGACGGGUGUCGUGGACUUGGGCGUGGCAGGAAGGGAGUAUUUCUGGGAGGAGGGAGUCUCUGAAUGUGGGAAUCAGGCUGACCUGCCAGAUGACGGCAGAGGACACAAGCUAAGUUUGGUGCACUAGUGGGGUCUUUGCACCCCCAAAAGUGUCCUCUGGAAGACUUAGGAAGAAAAUAAAACUCUAUUACAGUUAUUAAAACAUAAUGCUCAACAUUUUUUUUUUUUUUUUUUUUUUUGCUUUUUAGGGCCACACCCAAGGCAUAUGGAGGUUCCCAGGCUAGGGGUGGAAUUGGAGCUGCAGCUACUGGCCUAUGUCACAGCUCACAGCAAUGCCAGAUCCUUAACCCACUGAGCGAGACCAAGGAUCGAACCCACAUCCUCAUGGCUACUAGUCGGAUUCGUUACUGAUGAGCCACAACAGGAACUCCUGAAUAUUCUAAACCACUCUCCACCCCGAACACAUGUCAGUGUGCUUUCAGAAGAGAAUGACUCUGUUGCACCUUCUAGGAGAAGCUGCCGGAGCUGACUGAGGCGCAGAUGAGCUCAGCAUCACUUUUUGUCUUGAACUUCACUUUUCCCCUGACCUUCUAACAACUGGCACUUGCUGGCCUCUCCCUCAGCCUGACUCCACGUAGCUUCUCAUUAUUUUCUUUCUUUUUUUAGGGCCACACCUGCAGCAUAUGGAAGGAGGUGAGGACGCAGGUUUGAUCCCUGGCCUCGCUCAGAGGGUUAAGGAUCUGGCAUUGCCAUGAGCUGUGGUGUAGGUCACAGAUGUGGCUUGGAUCCUGCAUUGCUAUGGCUGUGGCUGUGGCUGGCAUCUGCAGCUCUGCUUCGAUGCCUAGCCCUGAAACUUCCAUAUGCCACAUGAGUAGCCCUAAAAAGCAAAAAAAAAAAAAAAAAAAAAA
RNAcentral lists this long non-coding RNA (9328 nucleotides) under Sus scrofa (pig). RNAcentral describes it as "lncRNA (ENSSSCG00065009636.1)". The record is from RNAcentral. Lineage: Eukaryota; Metazoa; Chordata; Mammalia; Artiodactyla; Suidae.